RNAcentral lists this ribosomal RNA (352 nucleotides) under uncultured Geobacter sp. RNAcentral describes it as "bacterial SSU rRNA". It matches the Rfam family "Bacterial small subunit ribosomal RNA", at positions 485 to 836 of the family's 1533-position model. The record is from RNAcentral. Lineage: Bacteria; Pseudomonadati; Thermodesulfobacteriota; Desulfuromonadia; Geobacterales; Geobacteraceae.
AGGAAGCACCGGCUAACUCCGUGCCAGCAGCCGCGGUAAUACGGGGGGUGCAAGCGUUGUUCGGAAUUAUUGGGCGUAAAGCGCGUGUAGGCGGUUUGUUAAGUCUGAUGUGAAAGCCCUGGGCUCAACCCAGGAAGUGCAUUGGAAACUGUCAGACUUGAAUACGGGAGAGGGUAGUGGAAUUCCUGGUGUAGGAGUGAAAUCCGUAGAUAUCAGGAGGAACACCGGUGGCGAAGGCGGCUACCUGGACCGAUAUUGACGCUGAGACGCGAAAGCGUGGGUAGCAAACAGGAUUAGAUACCCUGGUAGUCCACGCCGUAAACGAUGAGUACUAGGUGUCGCGGGUAAAUCG